CCAUAACACUUCGCUCUGAUGGCAAGUUAGUUUUAGUUAUUAAACUUCAUAUGGUAAUUUAUGUUUAUUGUGAUCAAACUUUUAGUUCAAAUAAACCAUUAAACAUGGACUAUUCUCAAACUUAAAGAAAGAGGCUUAAAUCCUCAAGGCUUUUAAGCCCAACAACACCAAUGAUUUAUAUUAUUUUAAGUUAGGAAACUAAGCCAUAGAAAUAACCAGCAAAAGUGACUAAUAGGGUGCCAGCAGUCGCGGUUAGACCCUUACUUUAAAUUAACUACUACAAAACCAAAGAGGAUCAUUAAUUAUGAGCAAGAUCAUAACCGCAAAGAUGUAAGUAAAAUUUCAACCUAAAGCUCACACCCGAACGGAUCUCACAAUGCGCCUCAACAAACCACAUCCACGAGACAGGGAUUAGAUACCCCAUUACCGAGUGGCCCAACCAAUAAAACAGUAAGAAUGAAAAUUUUAAAAUUAAAGAGCGUGGCGGUGUUCCACACCAUAUUAGGGGAUCCUGUGGCUUAAUUCGAUAAUCCACGAAUAUCAAAGCUUUUAUUAGCUACCAGCUUGCGUAUGGCCGUUUUAUGUCUUUGCACCUAAACAUAAAAAAAAGGCAUCAGAACCAUUAAAUUCUGUAACACAGGUGACACACAGCCAAUAUAAAGCAGCUAAUGGGAUACAAAUAACUACUAUUACCCUAAGUAGAUUGACAUCUCUACACUAAAGGAGGAACUUAAAAGUAAGACCACAACACUAUUAUGGCCUGAACAAGAUAUGGAACGCGUAACAAAUCGCCCGUCACUCCUGCUAUUAACAGGAUAAGUCGUAACAUAGUGGGGGUAACGGAAGUUGCCCCUGAAUC
RNAcentral lists this non-coding RNA (859 nucleotides) under Venustaconcha ellipsiformis. Lineage: Eukaryota; Metazoa; Mollusca; Bivalvia; Unionida; Unionidae. The record is from RNAcentral.